CUCAUCCAAAACUGCCCUCUGAUACUGCCCAUGGAGAUACACCAAAUAUGGCACACAAAGUCUGCACAACCUUUUCAGGGCAUCAUCACUUGGAGAUAUGUUUACUGCAAAGACAAUGCAAAGCAGAUCAUAGUCGGUGGUUCAUGGAAGAGAUCUCAAUAUCAGGUCAUUGGGUUAAGCCGUAGUAACCACAAGGAUCCUUCUGUUCUUCAGUCAGGGUUUCUAUGAUCCCAACUGAGUCCAAAAGACUUUUUCCAGUGGCACAAGGAGAAUCUGAAACAUGCCUAUAUAUCAUCUGUAUCCUUUUGUUAUUUCAAACUGAACUGCAGUAACAAUAGUUACACUCUUCAGUUUAUUUCUAGAUGUGACUCUAAGACAACCAGACCUUGGAUUUCACUUUAAUCUCUAUAGGUUUAAGAAAAUACAGCAUUAGUCUGCAUUAUUAGGAAGAUGAGAUACAUACGUAAUCAGUAGUUUCACUGUUAGUUCCCUCAAAGUUGCAUAACUUAUUUUCAAUGUUAAGAACUCAUUUAUAUUACUACUCAUUUAAGUUGCAACUUUUAUAGCCUACAAUUUGGCUAGUAACUAUUUAAUGUUUUCAAAUGAUUAAAUAUUUUACAUCAAGCUUUAAGCAAAUGCUCAGAUGCUUUGAGGCACCUAGGAGGUGACACCUGCAGUCUCUUAAUCUUUUUGCAGACCUAAGGAACUUUGCUCUUCUAAUGACUAGAUGAAAUAGUGCAAAGAAAGAGGUUUCUCUGUCUCCAGCAGCUGACCUGAAACACUUGCCUGCAUGAAAUGCAUUGAAGUACGGAAGUAUGAGUACAAAAAGAUGUGGAUACAGAAUUUUUGUAUGGGUGUAGCUAGUCUGUGAUUCUUUAUUAACAUGUGGCCAGGUCAUAAUCUUUUUUCUUUCCUAUUUUUUUCAUUCUUCUCUUGAGUAGUAGUAUUUUUUCCAGCAGCUGUUAGAGAUAGAAGAAACUCCUUACUUUUAUAUGACAAAUACAUUUGCAGCAAGGUUUAUGUGAGUAUGUGUAUUAAAUGAAAGCAUGACAAGAAGAGGAAAUACUAUAAUCAGCAUGAACAAGCUUAGAAAGUUUUGAUGUAGAAAAUGAAAAAAAGGCAAAUAUCCUUUUCACUAAAUACUUCUCCUCUUUAGGAAACUUCAACUUGUAUCUGAACAAUAUCUCCUAUGUAGUGCAAGUGUUUAUAUUAAAUAAAUAUAUUUUAAAAACACA
RNAcentral lists this long non-coding RNA (1235 nucleotides) under Coturnix japonica (Japanese quail). Its description in RNAcentral is "lncRNA (ENSCJPG00005001365.1)". The record is from RNAcentral. Lineage: Eukaryota; Metazoa; Chordata; Aves; Galliformes; Phasianidae.